GCUAACGAGCGCAACCCUCGUCGUACUGUUAUAUAGUGUCAUACGAGACUGCCGUAAAAGCCGGAGGAAGGUGAGGAUGAUGGUCAAGUCAGCAUGACCUUUAUAUCCAGGGCUACACACACGCUACAAUGGUCUGUACAAUGGGUAGCCAAGCCGCGAGGCGGAGCCAAUCCUGAAAGCAGGCCUCAGUUCAGAUUGCAGUCUGCAACUCGACUGCAUGAAGCCGGAGUUGCUAGUAAUCGCAGGUCAGCAUACUCGCGGUCCGAAUACGUUCCGGGCCUU
This 282-nucleotide ribosomal RNA is filed under the name uncultured Anaerolineaceae bacterium. RNAcentral describes it as "partial 16S ribosomal RNA". It matches the Rfam family "Bacterial small subunit ribosomal RNA", at positions 1088 to 1382 of the family's 1533-position model. The record is from RNAcentral. Lineage: Bacteria; Bacillati; Chloroflexota; Anaerolineae; Anaerolineales; Anaerolineaceae.